This 462-nucleotide ribosomal RNA is filed under the name Nocardia sp. OAHPP7218. RNAcentral describes it as "bacterial SSU rRNA". It matches the Rfam family "Bacterial small subunit ribosomal RNA", at positions 28 to 507 of the family's 1533-position model. Lineage: Bacteria; Bacillati; Actinomycetota; Actinomycetes; Mycobacteriales; Nocardiaceae. The record is from RNAcentral.
GACGAACGCUGGCGGCGUGCUUAACACAUGCAAGUCGAGCGGUAAGGCCCUUCGGGGUACACGAGCGGCGAACGGGUGAGUAACACGUGGGUGAUCUGCCUUGCACUCUGGGAUAAGCCUGGGAAACUGGGUCUAAUACCGGAUAUGACCUCCGAUCGCAUGGUUGGGGGUGGAAAGAUUUAUCGGUGCAAGAUGAGCCCGCGGCCUAUCAGCUUGUUGGUGGGGUAAUGGCCUACCAAGGCGACGACGGGUAGCCGGCCUGAGAGGGCGACCGGCCACACUGGGACUGAGACACGGCCCAGACUCCUACGGGAGGCAGCAGUGGGGAAUAUUGCACAAUGGGCGGAAGCCUGAUGCAGCGACGCCGCGUGAGGGAUGACGGCCUUCGGGUUGUAAACCUCUUUCGACUCCGACGAAGCGAAAGUGACGGUAGGAGUAUAAGAAGCACCGGCCAACUACGUG